RNAcentral lists this long non-coding RNA (2289 nucleotides) under Sus scrofa (pig). RNAcentral describes it as "lncRNA (ENSSSCG00025007976.1)". The record is from RNAcentral. Lineage: Eukaryota; Metazoa; Chordata; Mammalia; Artiodactyla; Suidae.
GGGAGUGGUUCUGGCACAAGAAUCUGGGCUCCCCAGCACAGCAUGUCACCACCAUCAUGUGGUGUAGUUUGGGCAACAUGGAUGCCAGAGCAUGCAGGUCUGAGUUUCCAGAAAAGCUGUGAUGACACGCAGCCAGUGUCCAGCUGGUGAGUACUGGCAGGAUAAUCAGGCUUCCUGAGGAGAGGCUGGGAAGAUACAGGUGUCAGGCUCCCAGUUGUGUAGAUGAAAUUGUAGCUCAGAGCUGUGUCCUGGAGGAGAAUCACAGCUUUCCACGUCAGACAGAUCAGGCUUUCCCAACCUCAGCACCACUGACCUUUGAGCCGGAUGAUCCUUUGUCAUGGGAGACAUUGUGAAACAUCCCCUGGGGUGGGGGGGCGCACAUCAUCCCUAUUAGAGAAACACCAAAGGAGACAGAAGGUAUGAGUGCCCUGCAGAGAUUCAGAACCAUGGACAAGACCAAGACAUGUGCACGGAGUCUGUGGUUGUCCAUUCCCAGAAUGUAAGUGUGGGACGGAGUAUAUGACACACUGGCUAAGAAGGAUUUGAGGCCAAGCUUCAGCAGGAAAGAAUUGAGUGUUACCUGAUUAAAGCCAAGACCAGGGGAUGAUGGCACUCCUGCCAUUGACUUGUUUCGCCAGGACUCCGGGAGGGCGGGCAAGGGUGUUGCUGACUCUGCGGGCCUCAGAUAAUGUCUGGUUUCCAACACGACCUCCCACCUUUCUGUAAACAGAGGACACUGAGCCUGCUGAUGUGUUUGUUGUCCAUGCUUGAUGGAGGGGCUACACUGCCAUGCUUGAUGGAGGGGCUACCAUGCCCUGGGCAGGCCGGUGGGGCCAUUGGAAGGUCUAGCUGGACGGAACAAAUCUGCAUUUACAGAUUGGAGGCUUGCACGCAUGGACCUCCCAGUUUAACAUGAGAACAGACAGUCUGUGUUGUCUAAGACUGUGGCAGUUUAUGUGGGAGGCCGACGCUCGCUCAUUUAGAACCUCAACAGAAAUCCCCAUUCCGUGAAAGGUGCUGGUCCCCCUUCCCCUUCACAUGUCGCUAAACGAUAGGGCCCCCAUCAUGAAGAUGGAUAGCUGAUGAGGUAAAACAAUUAAGCACAGGCAUCUCUUUGCUUACCUUAGACAUCUGAAGUUUUUAUAGGGAAAAGGGCUAAAUCAAUUUUCAAAGUUGACACUGUGCAUUUAUCACUUUUUGCCUUCACGGUCUUUCUGUGAUGCACUGACUUAAGUGCUGGGCACUGGGGAAUGAGUGCCAAUUACCUUUUUAAAGAAAGGGAAGGCUGAACUGACACGCUGGUCUCCCCUGGGGUUCAGAGAUGCUCUCUGUCUUAAAGUGGGGCAUUUUAAAGUCGGGAGACCUCCAAAAGCUCCAGGUUCCUUCCAACUGCAAGAUAGCCCAUUCACCAAGACGUUCAAGAUCAGAACAGUUGGGACCGGAUGGAAGAAAUGAUGUGUCCAGGCGUUCCCAGCGGGGUAUGCUCAUUCCAUCCUGCAAGGGUAACCCUGUGCUACCUUCCACAGCCACUUUCUGUACAUCUGAAUUUUAUGCCCUCACACUGAGUCAGGCAGCACCCUGGAGCAGCUUUACAGUCAGUGAAGAGUCCAUGAAAAACGUGAAGAGAAGCCUGGCUUAGAAAAGACUUCGUGGUGGAAGUGCAAUUUUGGAAAGCGGAAGAUGCAGACAGAUAUAGAGCAGAGUGAGAGAAGGGUGACGGCUACCAGCAUGCAUAAACCAGGGGGUACAUGAGCCCUGAAUACACUCUAGAGAAGAGGAGGAGCCCUCAGGGGCUGACCAUGGCUGGCAAGGAAAAAAAAAAAAGGAAAGGAAAACAACUCUAACAGUCAGCCGAGUAGUGGGAAAAUGGCCUUCAUCCUCCAAGGAGGCUAAGAAGAAAUCACGCCAAGGACUAGCACCCCAAGACACAAAGUGGAAUCACACAGCCAUGAAAGGGCGCCCCCUCAGAACUGGACAAACAGUGUCCUAUUCCAUUCGGUGGCCUCCGAAGGCAAUGCUUAGCCUCAGGUGCUGCCCUGGUAGAAAAGAACUGUAAGGCAGUCAUGUCACUCACAGUAGGACAGACCAUUGUCACUACUUAAUAACACACACAACCAGAGCUGGCUAGGUUAUGUCACAGAACUAAGCCACAAGAUGAUAGUGUUUCAAUAAAUGCAUUUGAUUGGUGAUGGAAUCAAAUGCCCUAGUCCCCUUAUUUUGUUUUAAACAUUUUAUAUUUUAUUUUAUUUAAAAAUUUUUAUUUUUAGUUAUUUAUUUGGCCAUGCUGCA